AACACAUGCAAGUCGAGCGAGGAUAUUGGGGAGCUUGCUUCCUGGUAUUCUAGCGGCGGACGGGUGAGUAACGCGUGAGCAAUCUGCCUCUGACAGGGGGAUAACGCAUCGAAAGAUGUGCUAAUACCGCGUAAGACCACAGUGCCGCAUGGCACAGGGGUCAAAGGAGCAAUCCAGUCGGAGAUGAGCUCGCGUCCGAUUAGCUAGUUGGUGAGAUAACAGCCCACCAAGGCGACGAUCGGUAGCCGACCUGAGAGGGUGAUCGGCCACAUUGGAACUGAGAGACGGUCCAGACUCCUACGGGAGGCAGCAGUGGGGAAUAUUGGGCAAUGGGCGAAAGCCUGACCCAGCAACGCCGCGUGAGGGAAGAAGGGUUUCGGCUCGUAAACCUCUGUCCUAUGGGACGACGAACGACGGUACCAUAGGAGGAAGCCCCGGCUAACUACGUGCCAGCAGCCGCGGUAAUACGUAGGGGGCGAGCGUUGUCCGGAAUGAUUGGGCGUAAAGGGCGCGUANGCGGCCUGUUAAGUCUGGAGUGAAAGU
This 543-nucleotide ribosomal RNA is filed under the name uncultured rumen bacterium. RNAcentral describes it as "bacterial SSU rRNA". It matches the Rfam family "Bacterial small subunit ribosomal RNA", at positions 50 to 601 of the family's 1533-position model. The record is from RNAcentral.